AGGAACCCUACCUGGCAGAUAGAGCCCUUAUGCCCUCCAUGGCAACUCCACUGUUCAGAGGCUUUCAGAGAUGUGGAUUUAGGCCAUAAUGAUGUAUUUAAAACAGGCCACGCAAUGACAGCGGCUCGUCACCUCUCUUGGUCACUGGCGCAGUUAAAACCAGCAGUGUAGAAGUAAAAAGAAAAGACCUGCUUGUGCCAUUAGUGGCACUGUCAUCCACUGACUCUUUCAGCUGGUUCUCUUUUACCACUUUUCAGCAAACACUUGAGGCUCAGCUCCAGGGGUUCCCAUGCUGAUAGGAUAUCAAUAAAACCUGCUAGCGCUCCUUAAAGUUAGGCAGGAGGGAUGCCGUAGGCUCCUGAACAGCGUUUUGAUAAAUGGAUCACAGUCUUGCCCAGAAGAACAUCUAGGCUUCUGUUCCCAGCUUCCCAAACAGCUCUGCCAAUGUACCUCUGCUUUCCCCUGAGUUCAAGAUGAGAUCCUGCUGCAAAUCACCUGUCUGUGGUAGAACAGUUGCUCCCGUGGAGGCACCUGAGUUGUUUUAAACGUGUAACUUGAUGAAAAUACAAGUGGAAGACCAUAGAGGGAGGCAGCAAGUGCUGUAAUGAACUGCCAGAUAUGUCACUGUUCACUACAAGAUCUGCUUAACUCACUUACUGCCACUCAGAGAUCUUCACCAUCUCCUGUCUGCAGGCAGAACAGAUGCUCCUGUUCCUCUCUUGUCCUUUCCCAGAGAGAUGCCUUCUAUGGUUUAGCA
Long non-coding RNA from Empidonax traillii (willow flycatcher), 757 nucleotides. RefSeq lists it as uncharacterized. NCBI's taxonomy places the organism in Eukaryota, Metazoa, Chordata, Aves, Passeriformes, Tyrannidae. The record is from RefSeq and is a predicted model, not a curated record. The transcript is spliced from 3 exons.